AUAAGACCACUUUAAAGACCAGCUUUGCAGAUCUUUUAGCAAUGAAUUCAUAAACACGUUGUAGGAGUUGUGUUUUUGACUCAAGUUAGCGGUCACUAAAGAACAGAAGUGAAGUGUCUCUUACUAACAGAAUAAGAGUAGCCUGUCAUUUUGCAAUAAGGCACCUGCUUUCUCUGCACAUGUUUGACCAAUAUUCUGCAUCACUCGCAUAUUAAUCGUUGCAGUGCCAGCGCCAUGCUUGUGGGUAGUGUCCAGCAGACUCAGGAAAGAUAUACUCCUUUUCCUCUGCAGGGAACCAGAAUUGAGAUGCACAGAGUGAAUGGGCCAAUAUAUUUCUCCUGUACCUGUCACUUGAGUUUGAAAGCACAUGAUGAGUUAUUAGGAUAUUCCAUCCAUUGGCACCAAGUGUGUAUAGUUAGAUAGAUGGACAUCUGGGCAAGUUCAUUGGGGGCUUGCCUGAAUAAGCAAUAUUAUGUAACAUUUAUUGUAUUUGUGCCUUCACUUCCCCAAUGGAGUUAACUGAAAAAAAUAAAAAGUGAGACCCUUGGGGGACCCAUAUUGUCCGCUAUGAUGAGGGAUCUGACAUGGGCUAUGUCUCAUGCUCACUCCCAAAUACGCCCUUUCCACAUUGCAAUAAGGCACUGCCUCAGCAUGAGCUGUGCAAUGCGGACACUCAAAUUAGAGAGUGCCUUAUUGCUGCUGAAUUAAUUGGUCAGCGGUGUGACACCUCUACAAUUUUGCUGUUUUAACUUUGUGCACUGGCAUAUGUAUUUCACCACAAUCAGUGCUCCCGUAGCAAGGAGCAGCACUGCAGGAAUAAGAUUUGUCACGACAUGCCCCCUUUUUUGCCAUAGAGGUCAGAUACGCCAUACGUGAAAGCCUUUUUCGUCCAGGAAUACUGUAACGAUAUGAAAAUUCCAGGUGUACAAGGAAGCAGUCAGAUGAGAUUAACCAAAUCCAUACACCGAGUCAUGUUACUGCUUAGAAAAAAACAAGAAGAUCCACUGAUGAACUGUGGUACAUAUGUCCAAAGAACGAGUAUGUUUAAAUAAUGAAUAUUGCAGAAAGCUGGGAAUUUAUAAGCAGACUCAAGCAAGUUCUAUAACCUGUUUUGUCUUAACACGGGAGUAACAAGCAAUGGAUAAAAGGAACAGCUCUGCUAUUUGUGAAGCCUGGAAAUAAGGAAUCAGUCAAUACCACAGUAAGGAUAAAGGAAUCAGGCAGAGGCUGAAGCUCCUAUAAAAUAUGUUUUAGGUUGGAAGAGCAUUUUUUGUAUUAAUAGAAAGUGGCUAUUGUGUGCAUAUUGAAGCUUUAUUGAAUAAUAAGAGCACCUCAUUAAGUACUUCACCUUUUGCUGGCCAGCGAAUCGCAGACCCCUCUGGCAGCGAAGAGGUUAAACUUUGGAAUUGUGUUUCAAGCCAGUAACGUCAGACAGCAGAUAGUGCUUUAGGCAGGAUAAGAGAGAAAACCUGGGCCAUCACUUCUCAUGUACUUUGCCAACGGCCUCUUUAUUGUAAAGAGGGGUUUUUUGUUUUUGUUUGGUUUAUUGUUUUCUUUUUGUAAUAAAAUCGCAAAAGAAUAAAAAUUAAUAUAUAU
Pelobates cultripes (western spadefoot toad) is the source of this 1596-nucleotide non-coding RNA. The record is from the annotation of a GenBank genome assembly. NCBI's taxonomy places the organism in Eukaryota, Metazoa, Chordata, Amphibia, Anura, Pelobatidae.